GGAAGGAGUUGGUGACCGUCCGCAUGCGCUUGUGGGCCAGCACGAUCCAGAUCACCACGAGGUUGCCGAGCACCGCCACGGCCACCACGGCGCCGUAGGCCAGCGACCAGAGCGCCACGCGCCAGGGCGGCUGCAGGAACGGCAACCGACGUGCAUUCUGUCUGAACACUGUCCGAUGAGAAGGAGCUGAACAGUGAGGCGGGGCGUGGAGGAAGCCGGAGCCGGGCAGAGCUACUGUCUUGCUCAAGCCAUAGAAGGUACCUUGCUUUCUGUCUGGCAGAGUUUUCCUGUUGACUUCAACUUACAGCACUUGGAGACCACUGGGUUGGAAGAAAACCACAUGUACUCUCUUGUUUGUGCUGUCUUCCUGAGUUCCAGGGGCCAUGUGAAAAGACAGGAUCUUGCUAAGUGGCUAACUGGUGCAGGCUGGACUGGAACUUGAGAUCUUCUUGCUUCAGCCUUUCAGAGUUCUGGGGUUAGGGUGUGCACCACCAUGCACAGCUUACAGUCAGACCAGAACCUACUGAUCCUGUUAUCCUCCUUGAACUUGAAAGAACUUGAUUGCUUCACCUGAAUAAAUCAUUUUCUUGGUUGACUUGGAAGAAAAAUUAAACCUCAGCACACAGAAGUCUCUUUUGGGAAGGACUGUGGACCUCACUUAAUCUAGGUCCCCCAGAGACAAAACAAUGGGAUUCACUGGGAUUGACAGGAAGUCAUGCACAUUUGUGUAGAUAAAUGGUCUGAAGGGAUGACGAGACGCUGUUAGUGCUGUAGACUGCUGGGACACCGUGUACUGCCCCACUAGACCUGGAACUUAUUAAUGAAAGUCAUGUCCUAUUGUCAUGAGGUUAUAUUAUUGGAAUAAAUGUGCCAACCAACCAGGAAAGGCUUUCCUUUUCUAGACCACAGGUAGAAAGAUACUGCUCACAUCUCUUCAUCUCCUUUAAAUUGAGCUUGCUAGAUUGCAAUUUUCCCAAUUACCUAAACCCACUUAGUGGUUAAUAUAAAACAAUUAUAGGAUAAGUGGAAGCCAUAAAGAAAUUUCAUUUUAAUUUAGGAUCUAUCCACUGUAAACAUUAGUACUCAGCAAGUCUUUAUCAAAUAUGGCUGGUAAGAAAAUUUGUGUAUUCUGGAAGUUAUAGAUCCAGAACAUUGAGGACAGUGAUAUUUCCGGUGACAUUAGUGGAGCCCGGUUUGAUCAACAACUCAAGCUGUGCAAUAAAUGCUGGAGAUUGGUGUUUGAUUGUUGAUUUAACUGAUUCUUUCAUUUCAUUCCUGCCUUAGAAGGAAAGAAAGUAUGAUUUUUCACUUGCAUCGAAUGAGCUCUAAUAUGUAUUUUAUGCUUCCUCUGAAAUCUUUAUAUUAUUUUACUAACUGCAAAAAUCUGAAGAUAUGUAUAUUUGAUUUUUUAGAAUAAAAUGCUCUGUUCUUCAUA
Molecule: long non-coding RNA, 1435 nt
Organism: Cavia porcellus (domestic guinea pig)
Lineage: Eukaryota; Metazoa; Chordata; Mammalia; Rodentia; Caviidae
Exons: 4
Source: RefSeq, a predicted model, not a curated record